Molecule: unclassified non-coding RNA, 857 nt
Filed under: Hevea brasiliensis (rubber tree)
Lineage: Eukaryota; Viridiplantae; Streptophyta; Magnoliopsida; Malpighiales; Euphorbiaceae
Source: RNAcentral
CCGAACAGCAAAUAGAUGUAUUUGAGUGUUUCACCCAAGAAAAAAGUCUCCAUCUUGUCUCUUCUUUGUGGAGGAAUAACAGUAACAUCGUCAAGAGAAGUGUAACCUCCAGAAUCAAUCUUAGUGUACUUCUCAAAUGCCUCAAAAAUUUGCCAGCCCCAUUCACGAUACUUUGAAUCGCCAGUAAUGCGAUACAGAUAAAACAAUGAUUCAACAGUUUCAGGGCGCAAAAGAUUGUGACGAUCAGCAGGCUUUAUGAUUAUGUCAUUCAAAUAUUUCGAACUUUUGUUCCCACCACCAGGACCACCUUCAGAAUUUCCCUCAAUAUUGAAAUAAGCUAUUUCUGGAGCAAGGCCAGUAGAGGUUACUGAGUAUAUUUCCACGCAAGUCUUAGCCAGAUCUUCAGCAAGCUUUAGGUUUUCCAUAUCUUCAAAAGUGAGCAAGUUCUCUCUCAUAGCUCUUUCCUUUGUCAACCCCUUUGUAGCACCAAGGGCUAGGGUACCAGGAAGGAAACACACCAGGUGAUCCAUCUUUGGACUGAAACCACCUUCUUGCCCAUAUGGCAAUUCUCCCACAAAGACCAAGCCAUUUGGAACAGAUUUGCGAACAAGAAGGUGCCUGACACCUUUAAUUGCUUCGACAUACAUAUCGUACAAGUAUGAAAAGUUAGUUCCUUUCUGCUGAAGCCACACUUUGAUAAGAUACUCAUAAUAGCUAUCACCACGAGAUCCAAGUCUAAUAUUGUCUCCACUAAACUGUCCGGAUUGAGGGCUAAUGUAUAUAGGGACCAGUCCCUCCACCUUUGGCAAAGUCUUUAUAUGUUGUAGAACCUUCAUGGCUUCUGUGCUAUACUUUGG